UUUUGGAUCAAUUUUUAUCGUUUAAUGGUUUGGUUGAGUUUCCUGUAUCAUUUUCCAAUUUUUUUAUAAAAUUAAAGACAAAUGAAUGUCAUAUUUUUAUACGUCGCAUGAGACACAAGACACAGGUGACGAAACUUGCCAUGACCAAACUACAAAAUGUAACGAUACAGAGUCAGAGCAUGGGUCCCAUGUUACCACUCGGAAUGAAGAUGGAUUUUCCGGCACCAUGGUUCCCUUUUAUCCCUCCCAACUUGAUCAUGCCGCCCUUCAAUGGUUUUACCCCAGGAGAAACUAGCUAUGCCGGUGGUAAUCGAAAUAUUGAACCUGCUGCCAUCAAGGGAUUCAACAAUCUGUUGAAUUAACCACACUCGUCAAGAUCUAUGUGAGCUAGUGGUGUUUUUAUACUUUGGACGUCUGGUUCUCAAGUUCGUUUAUUCUAUGUGUAUGUUUAUUGUCUAGUAGUUUAAAGUUGUUCUCCCACGUUUAUAAGACUGUGGCGUUCUCUUUUGUUCGUCCGUCACAGUGUAUUUAUGUUGUGAUAGUUCAAUGUAAA
Molecule: long non-coding RNA, 553 nt
Organism: Raphanus sativus (radish)
Lineage: Eukaryota; Viridiplantae; Streptophyta; Magnoliopsida; Brassicales; Brassicaceae
Exons: 2
Source: RefSeq, a predicted model, not a curated record